CCUACGGGAUGCAGCAGUGGGGAAUAUUGGGCAAUGGGCGCAAGCCUGACCCAGCAACGCCGCGUGAAGGAAGAAGGCUUUUUGGUUGUAAACUUCUUUUGUCAGGGAAGAGUAGAAGACGGUACCUGACGAAUAAGCCACGGCUAACUACGUGCAAGCAGCCGAGGUAAUACGUAGGUGGCAAGCGUUGUCCGGAUUUACUGGGUGUAAAGGGCGUGUAGCCGGGUUGACAAGUUAGAGGUGAAAUCCUGCGGCUUAACCGCAGAACUGCAUUUGAGACUGUUGAUCUUUAGUACUGGAGAGGCAGAUGGAAUUCCUGGGGUAGCGGUGAAAUGCGUAGAUAUUA
This 346-nucleotide ribosomal RNA is filed under the name uncultured bacterium. RNAcentral describes it as "partial 16S ribosomal RNA". It matches the Rfam family "Bacterial small subunit ribosomal RNA", at positions 338 to 699 of the family's 1533-position model. The record is from RNAcentral.